Alligator mississippiensis (American alligator) is the source of this 75-nucleotide regulatory RNA element. It matches the Rfam family "ctgf/hcs24 CAESAR". From Rfam's summary of the family: The 3' UTR of human connective tissue growth factor/hypertrophic chondrocyte specific 24 (ctgf/hcs24) mRNA has been shown to repress ctgf gene expression. Reference identified a minimal RNA element, predicted to form a stable secondary structure, which acts as a post-transcriptional cis-acting element of structure-anchored repression (CAESAR), probably through direct interactions with as yet unknown nuclear factors. NCBI's taxonomy places the organism in Eukaryota, Metazoa, Chordata, Crocodylia, Alligatoridae. The record is from Rfam.
AUGGAGACAUGGCAUAAAGCCAGAAGGAGACAAGCUAGAGACUUUCAACUUGAACUGUUUUUUGCAUCUCUUUUU